UGAAAACACGGUAACUUUAUAUGUGCGUUUAUGUGUAUGUACCCAUGCCUAUCGGUAUAUUUCGUUAAUGACCGAGGCGAAAAUUCCUAAUGCAGCAUCACUUCGGACCCAUCUUGCAGGCAAUCAGGAGCUUUGGGGGUCUACUAACUUGGGCGGUACCCAGAUCAGCAUAUAGACUUUUAUGACAGUCUCCGAAGAUUGGUAUUGCUAGCAAAUACCUCGAACCACUGGGGGUUCGCCCCAGUGGCCACCCUUCCAACUUGGAAGGGGGAGGUGAGGGGUUCAAAUCCCCACCUUUUCAGGGGGGGAUGGGGGGUAGGGACGCGUAAGUUUCGAGAGUGGGUUGCGACUCCCACACCCUGCAAGAGGUAGGGCACAAGUCUGCGAGUGAGUGUAGAGUAGGCAUAGAAUAGGACUGACCAAAAAAAAAAAAAAAAAGCAAAUACCUCGUCAUCUCGUAAUAGAAAUAAGACAUGUAUAUACAUCU
This 487-nucleotide long non-coding RNA is filed under the name Eucalyptus grandis. RNAcentral's name for it is "long non-coding RNA (EGRA_LNC003164)". The record is from RNAcentral. Lineage: Eukaryota; Viridiplantae; Streptophyta; Magnoliopsida; Myrtales; Myrtaceae.